CGACGCCAUGAGCUACAGCUCGUAGUUGACUUCUGGCCGCGUACAGGUUUGGCUUCAGUCGACUUGUUAUGCAGUCAUCCGUCUGCAACUUAGUCGGCCUUUACUGGUUCGACUAGGAAAGCAGACAAUUUACCUUGAAAAAAUUAGAGUGUUUCAGGCAGGUAACCGCCGGAAUACAUUAGCAUGGAAAAAUGGAAUAGGACUUAGCUCCAUUGUUGGAGUAGGAACUUAGUAAUGAUUUACAUGAACAGUUGGGUGCAGAGGAAGUAAUUGCCGAAGGAGAAUGCUGGGAUUGCAAAUGGAUAAUUCAUGUAAAAGCUUCA
This 323-nucleotide ribosomal RNA is filed under the name uncultured eukaryote. RNAcentral's name for it is "bacterial SSU rRNA". It matches the Rfam family "Eukaryotic small subunit ribosomal RNA", at positions 625 to 956 of the family's 1831-position model. The record is from RNAcentral.